This 204-nucleotide long non-coding RNA is filed under the name Mytilus galloprovincialis (Mediterranean mussel). Lineage: Eukaryota; Metazoa; Mollusca; Bivalvia; Mytilida; Mytilidae. The record is from RNAcentral.
CUUGUAGCCAGAUAUGUAAAAGUUUCAAAAAUGUAAUCGUGAAAAAUCAUUGACAUUCGCAUAUCAUAUUCCGAUAUUUUGAUAUGAAACUAUCGAAGAGACGGUAAUUCUACAAGAAAGGAUUUCCAUUUGCAAGUGUCAGCAAAUGACGAAGUUAAAAGGUAAACCAAACUGUCACCACAUGAUCCGAUGCCAUCAACACGA